This 1834-nucleotide long non-coding RNA is filed under the name Lynx pardinus (Iberian lynx). The record is from RNAcentral. Lineage: Eukaryota; Metazoa; Chordata; Mammalia; Carnivora; Felidae.
CAGGGGUACAACCUAUUUUCCAGCCUUGGCCCCUUCUUCUUUGCUGACCCAGCUAAGUCAGAAACCAGAUAAAUUCCUGAUUUAAUCCUGAGAAGAAAAGAAGAAUCAGCUUUUGAAAGGGAUCUUCUUUUAUCCUUUGCAUAGGUUAGGAGGAGACCAACCAGGAUGGUGAAAUAGUUUAACCUCAAAUCAAAUAGUAAUAAUACAAAAAAAUCAUGGAUAGUAUUUAAUCUAAAAUAAGGAAAUUCCAUAUGUCCUCCAAAAAAAAGUUUUUGGCUUCAAGAAUGAAAAUAAAAGAAGCAUAUUUGUCUCAAUCCAAAUACAGACACCAGAAAGACAAACUGGGACUAUACAAUGAAGUAGCUUGCAGGAUAAUACACAGAAAAAUGUAAUCAUGCAUAAAUCAUGUGCAAAGUAGAAACCACAAAUUGUGUAUUUGGCAAGACUUCGAUUCCUUUGCAUAAUUCUUUCAUUUUCAUCUUGCUACUUCCAUUCUCUUCUCAUAGAAAUAGCUACAUAAAACAAAGACAUAAACUGUGUGCAAUUAAAAUGGGAAAAUAGCUGAAAGGAAUGUAUUGAUAAUUAUGUUAAAAUCUAUACCGUAAGGAUUCUUGCAUUGUUAGGCAUCUAAUUUGUCAUCUGUUGACAUCAGCAUCUCAGUUCUCCAUAACAUCUGAAGCUUUGUUUUAGGCAACUUCUUGCAGAGUGAGCAAACUUUACAUACCGUUGAGUCGACAAAAGUAUAACUAUAUCCUACAGAAAGAGACUUAAGUAAACCUCCAGCAGUCAUAUAGAUUUCUCGGUGGACGGGACCAUCACUGAAUGACAGAGCUGGGGACAUAGUUUCUCUAGACUGAAGCAGGUGCUAAAAUGGUACUCUCACAUGCAGGUUGGCAAUGGUUGACUAGAAGGAGAGACACUUAGAGCAGUUCUUGUGUAUGGAGUUCUGUUUUGUCUUCAUAACCAUGGGUGAAAUGAGUUUGUUUGGGGAGGGAGAGUGAAGUGUCUUUAUAUACAAGGAAGGCUCUGGUCACCCACAACAGGCUUAGGGACACUCGUUAUAACCCCCAGGAUCUUUUCUCUUAAUUAUCAUCACCUCAUCCAUGAAGUUCAGACAUGCAUGAUUUCUCCUUUCUUUCACAAUCUAUUAAAAAAUAUUAAAGCUCUAAAUCUCAUUUCCACUGAAGUUUAAAUGUUGCAUUGUAACAUAAGAUAAAACUUUGCUCCGAUGUUAAAAAUAUUAAAGUGAGAAGCAAUAUGGCAUAAUACUAAUGAGAAGAACUAUACAGUUCUUCCUGAAUGCAAAUCAGUGUUCAUCCAGGUUAAGCAAACUUUUUGUACCUCAAUUUCCCUACUUAUAUAAUUUAAUAACAAUAGCACCAACCUAUAUACUAUUAUCAAGUAUUAAAUUAGAUAACACAUAAAAUCACUUAGUAAAGUAUCUGACUAGUUACCAUUUUUAUAUUUUCAUUGAAAAGAAUAAAGAAAAGUAGAAGAAAUAAGAAAGAAAAGGAAGAAACAAUAGGAAAGGAGUGGUAAAUCUAGUAUGUCAAGGCACAUACUAAUGUAGGAAACAUUUUUUUUAUAGUUCUUAACAUAGGCCAGACUCUGUGUUCAAUGCUUCUAAACCUCAUUCUUGUUCUUUGAAAUGCAUAAUUUUAUCUCCAUUGAAAAGAUGAGAAACUGGAGACUAGUUCAUGAAGUAUUACACUUCUAGUAAAUGACAAAAUUUGAACAGGACAAUAGAAGCUGAAUUCUUAAUAAUUAUAUUUUAUUUUAAAAAUAGAUUUUAACUUCUCAAAUAUUAAUAAAGCAAAUCAAAAUGACAGUCAUU